UUUCUGUGUUUUUGUUUCUAACAAACAACAUUUUUUAUAAAAAAAGCCAAAAAAA
This 55-nucleotide small RNA is filed under the name Arabidopsis thaliana (thale cress). RNAcentral's name for it is "ATSL136950". The record is from RNAcentral. Lineage: Eukaryota; Viridiplantae; Streptophyta; Magnoliopsida; Brassicales; Brassicaceae.